AGUCACUGACAUUAGAUACCCGCGUAGUCCAGGGUGUAAACGCUGCAGACUUGGUGUUGGAGGCCCUUUGGGGGCAUUCAGUGCCGGAGAGAAGUUGUUAAGUCUGCUACUUGGGGAGUACGUCCGCAAGGAUGAAACUUAAAGGAAUUGGCGGGGGAGCACCGCAACGGGAGGAGCGUGCGGUUUAAUUGGAUUCAACACCGUAAAACUCACCAGGGAAGACUGUUACAUGAAGGCCGAGAUGAAGACUCUGCUAGAUUUUUCAG
RNAcentral lists this ribosomal RNA (266 nucleotides) under uncultured archaeon. RNAcentral's name for it is "partial 16S ribosomal RNA". It matches the Rfam family "Archaeal small subunit ribosomal RNA", at positions 716 to 982 of the family's 1478-position model. The record is from RNAcentral.